GAUGAACGCUAGCAGCAGGCCUAACACAUGCAAGUCGAGGGGCAGCACAGAAACAGCAAUGUUUUGGUGGCGACCGGCGGACGGGUGCGUAACGCGUAUGCAACCUACCUUUAACAGGGGGAUAACGGAGAGAAAUUUCCACUAAUACCCCAUAACAUCGAUCAAGGCAUCUUGAUUGGUUGAAAACUCCGGUGGUCAAAGAUGGGCAUGCGUUGUAUUAGGUAGUUGGUGAGGUAAUGGCUCACCAAGCCUACGAUACAUAGGGGGACUGAGAGGUUAGCCCCCCACACUGGGACUGAGACACGGACCAGACUCCUACGGGAGGCAGCAGUGAGGAAUAUUGGUCAAUGGGGGCAACCCUGAACCAGCCAUGCCGCGUGCAGGAAGACAGCUCUAUGAGUUGUAAACUGCUUUUAAACAGGGAUAAAGCACAGUAUGUAUACUGUGUUGAAGGUACUGUAAGAAUAAGGAUCGGCUAACUCCGUGCCAGCAGCCGCCGCAG
Molecule: ribosomal RNA, 502 nt
Filed under: uncultured bacterium
Lineage: Bacteria
Description: partial 16S ribosomal RNA
Rfam family: Bacterial small subunit ribosomal RNA
Source: RNAcentral